UACAGAGGCCCCAAGCAUUAUCCGGAAUCACUGGGCGUAAAGGGUGUCAAGGCGGUCAUGUUAGUCGUUUGUAAAAUCCGGGGGCUCAACCUCCGGCUCGCAAGCGAAACGGCAUGACUUGAGGUUGGGAGAGGUGCGUGGAACUCACGGUGUAGGGGUGAAAUCCGUUGAUAUCGUGGGGAACACCAAAGGCGAAGGCAGCGCACUGGCCCAAAUCUGACGCUCACACACGAAAGCCAGGGGAGCGAAUGGG
RNAcentral lists this ribosomal RNA (253 nucleotides) under uncultured bacterium. RNAcentral describes it as "partial 16S ribosomal RNA". It matches the Rfam family "Bacterial small subunit ribosomal RNA", at positions 524 to 776 of the family's 1533-position model. The record is from RNAcentral.